GCACUAGAACUCACAACUCAAAAUAGAUCAUGCCAACCUUCUGCCAAUAUUCACUUUCACAGAAUCUCCUCUCUUUGUGAAGGAAAGGAGAGCAAUGAUUAGUCAAAGAGGAAGAUCAUAGAAUCGCAAAGUUGGAAGAGACCAUAAGUGCCAUCCAGUCCAACCAAGCUGUAAUCAGACUUGAUAUGGGAAAAGGGAAACACUAAAACAUUUCCUUAUGGGAUCACUGACUUUGCAGUUUUCUGCCCUGCUGUCUGAAUGCAAAAGGAUGGGAAAACUACAGCCCCCAUGAUUCUGUCAGGAAAUGAUGUGGCAAAACUUGCUAGAGGCAGUCAAUGCUUGCUUUGAGUCAGACAAGCAAUCCUCAUGCCCUUGAGAUUUUCCACACAGCUGGUUCGCUGUCCUUGACUGAACACAAAGGUAUCUCUUCACAAGGAUAGUUGGAUACUGGAGGAACAUUCAUCAUGAAGAUCCUUCAUUGUCUCUUCGCUGUUACCUUCUUCUUGUUCCAGGUUCUUCUAGGGGAGAUCCCAGUGGAAGCCAUGCUCCUUACCUGCAGCUCUCUCGGUGGAUUUUGUCUGCGGCUACCCAAUGACACUUGUCCAUCAGGUGUUAUCCUGGAUAUGCCUUGUCAUUUCAAAAGAAGAUGUUGCUCAAAGACAGCAGUAUAACUGUGACUUUUAUGGAAUAAAUCUGCAGAGCCAUCAAAUAAAGUUGCUUAUUAAAUCAA
Anolis carolinensis (green anole) is the source of this 730-nucleotide long non-coding RNA. RefSeq lists it as uncharacterized. The transcript has 3 exons. The record is from RefSeq and is a predicted model, not a curated record. Lineage: Eukaryota; Metazoa; Chordata; Lepidosauria; Squamata; Anolidae.